Molecule: ribosomal RNA, 291 nt
Filed under: uncultured bacterium
Lineage: Bacteria
Description: partial 16S ribosomal RNA
Rfam family: Bacterial small subunit ribosomal RNA
Source: RNAcentral
UAAUACGUAGGCAGCAAGCGUUGUUCGGAGUUACUGGGCGUAAAGGGUGUGUAGGCGGUUGUUUAAGUUUGGUGUGAAAUCUCCCGGCUCAACUGGGAGGGUGCGCCGAAUACUGAAUGACUUCGAGUACGGGAGAGGAAAGUGGAAUUCCUGGUGUAGCGGUGAAAUGCGUAGAUAUCAGGAGGAACACCGGUGGUGUAGACGGCUUUCUGGACCGUAACUGACGCUGAGACACGAAAGCGUGGGUAGCAAACAGGAUUAGAUACCCUGGUAGUCCACGCCCUAAACGAU